GUCCCCGGCUUCGCCGCGCUGCAAACGCGGCAGAAGGCGUAAUAAGUCUCCGGGGACU
This 58-nucleotide transfer RNA is filed under the name Uroplatus fimbriatus (common flat-tail gecko). RNAcentral describes it as "tRNA-Cys". Lineage: Eukaryota; Metazoa; Chordata; Lepidosauria; Squamata; Gekkonidae. The record is from RNAcentral.